This 253-nucleotide ribosomal RNA is filed under the name uncultured bacterium. RNAcentral describes it as "partial 16S ribosomal RNA". It matches the Rfam family "Bacterial small subunit ribosomal RNA", at positions 524 to 776 of the family's 1533-position model. The record is from RNAcentral.
UACGUAGGGUGCAAGCGUUGUCCGGAAUUAUUGGGCGUAAAGAGCUCGUAGGCGGUUUGUCGCGUCGGAUGUGAAAGCCCGGGGCUCAACCCUGGGUCUGCAUUCGAUACGGGCAGACUAGAGUUCGGUAGGGGAGACUGGAAUUCCUGGUGUAGCGGUGAAAUGCGCAGAUAUCAGGAGGAACACCGGUGGCGAAGGCGGGUCUCUGGGCCGAUACUGACGCUGAGGAGCGAAAGCGUGGGGAGCGAACAGG